GCAUGGGUGGUUCAGUGGUAGAAUUCUUGCCUGCCACCCGGGAGGCCCGGGUUUGCUUCCCGGCGCAUGCA
This 71-nucleotide transfer RNA is filed under the name Macaca mulatta (Rhesus monkey). It matches the Rfam family "tRNA". From Rfam's summary of the family: Transfer RNA (tRNA) molecules are approximately 80 nucleotides in length. Their secondary structure includes four short double-helical elements and three loops (D, anti-codon, and T loops). The record is from Rfam by way of RNAcentral. Lineage: Eukaryota; Metazoa; Chordata; Mammalia; Primates; Cercopithecidae.